Molecule: unclassified non-coding RNA, 147 nt
Filed under: uncultured Pleosporales
Lineage: Eukaryota; Fungi; Ascomycota; Dothideomycetes; Pleosporales
Description: sequence contains ITS2
Source: RNAcentral
AACUCUUCAAGCUUUGCUUGGUGUUGGGCAUUGUUCGCCUUUGCGAACUUGCCUUGAAUAAAUUGGCAGCCAACAAUUGGGUGUUGGAGCGCAGCACAUUUUGCGUUCUUGACCUUAGUAGCUGGCGUCCAGAAAGCUUAUUUCAAC